RNAcentral lists this long non-coding RNA (622 nucleotides) under Sorghum bicolor (sorghum). RNAcentral describes it as "long non-coding RNA (SBIC_LNC000545)". The record is from RNAcentral. Lineage: Eukaryota; Viridiplantae; Streptophyta; Magnoliopsida; Poales; Poaceae.
CGGGGCCCUUCGGCAAAGCCUCCACGUCACUUGGCCGCCGUCAGUCUCACGGCUUGUUUGCCGAUGGCUGACUCCACGUGGCCAUCGGCAAACAUGGCGGAGCUGGCCACAGGUUCUGAGUCCACGUCACCUUUUUUCCGAUGGCCCUGGCCAUCGGCAAAGAUAUGGUCAGUUUGCCGAUGGUCACGGCCAUCGGCAAACCUGAAAAUUUUUUUUUCCUUUUUUUCUCUGUUUUCUUCCAUUUCCAGCACAUAUAAUCACAAGCAUACAAUAAUCACCAGCACAUAUUCAUCACAUAUAUUCACAAUAAUACGCCAUUUCACAAUAAUAUAGCAUCAAAUCCAUAUUCAUGCAUACAAAUCCAUAUCACAAGUCCCAAGUCUUGCAUACAACUCCAAAUGCAUCCAUACAAGGCCAACAUGGGCCAAACAUGUCCGACGUGGCACAACAAGUUCCAAAGUCAGGAAUAGAAGGUACCUAGCUCGUGGCGCCGUCCCCUUGGGUCCCCGAGCCCCCCGCAGCAUCCUCCCACGGAGACCAACUCCCCUGCUGCUGCGGCUGCUGCCACGAGUACUGCCAGUUGCCGAGCUGCUGCAGCUGAGGGAACUGAGACGGCCUGGGC